UUUAAAUGUAAUUUAUUUACUAAAUUAGUAUUAGUUAUGUUCUUGAAAAUUAAAAAAUUUGGCGGUAUUUUAGUCUUUUCAGAGGAACCUGUCCUAUAAUUGAUAAUCCACGAUUAAUUUUACUUAUUUUAUUAGUUUGUAUAUCGUCGUAGUUUGAAUGUUUUAGGAGAAUUUUAAUGUUCAAGAUUAUUAAUAAAUAAGGAAAUCAGAUCAAGGCAUAGUUUAUAGAUAAGAAGAGAUGGGUUACAAUAAAUUUAUUUUUGGUUUAAAUAAUGAAAUUUAUUUAUUAAAUUGGAUUUGAAAGUAAUUUUAAAUAUAUAUUUAAAAUGAUUAAGCUCUAAAAUAUGU
Molecule: ribosomal RNA, 348 nt
Filed under: Diplocoelus sp. CO878
Lineage: Eukaryota; Metazoa; Arthropoda; Insecta; Coleoptera; Biphyllidae
Description: partial 12S ribosomal RNA
Source: RNAcentral